CAUCUCUUCCAGAGUUGUCCAGCUGGGGCUGUGUGAGUGUUGUCCCACCGUGAACGGACACGUGGAGCCCCGCAGGCGGGAGCCACAGGACUGGGUGCUCUCAGCACCCUCCCCAUCCAGCCCUGGAGUCCCCUGGCAGUGUGAGCAGCUGAUCUAACCAAAGCUGGGGCAGAUCAGAGAGGUGGGAAACAAGGAAACGCCCCUGGAAGAUGUGAACACCUUUGGACUUGCUUCAUACUGGAGGGACUCCUCAACAGAAGGGGCUUCAAACACAUCCCUACUUGGGAUUUAAAUGGCAGGGAAUGCAUUUUCUGUGAAACCAUGGCUGGCUCUGUUUCUUCUUCUAAGGCAAAACAAAAAAGAAAGGAAAAGCAAGCCACUGAAUGUCACGGGCCACACAGGCCCCACGAUCCCAGAAUCUGUCUAAACAUAUAAACCAUUUAUACGGUUGGUAUUAAUAUUCUCCUGACGAAGUCACUAAUUUGGUGAAAUCGGGCUUAUUUUCAUCAAAAGAAAUAUUCACAUAUUUUGGUGGCAACAUUACCUUUGGACUUUCCAGCUACAAUAUUGUUUUUUUUGUUUUUGUUUUUCAGUUCACACCAGCUGCAAUGACUGAGAAAUGAAUAAGAGGAGACAAUAAUGGGGAGUCAGUCAUCUUCCUGGGAUGAGGCAGAUGGGUUGGACCCCAAAACAGGUGUCCCUUUUCUCCAUGGAGCUAAAAGACAGAGCCGUGCUCAGCCCUCUCUGGCUGAAUCUGCAGAGACAGGACAGUGACAACUCUGCCAGCCAGAGCCCAUCAGAAGUCUGGCUGUGAGCAGGUGGCAAUCCUGGGGGCUGCUGGUAGGAGGCAAAGGGCUGCCUGCAGCCUCGGGGGUCUUCAGUGGCCUGCUAACCAACCGAGCCCUCUGGGUGGGAGCCCCAUUUUCUUAACCACUAUUUUAUUCCUAUUGUCACAAACUCUUCAGCCUUCUCUGAGACUGCUGGACACCAAAGCGAGGUUGUCAUGAAUGUGGUGGAGAUCUUUAUUUUCUAGUUCCCAUACACACUAUAUCAUCACAUCAUAGUGACACUAGAGGAGACCAGACUCCCUCUUGGGGGGAGAUUCACAGAUGUAUUCCUGGCCACAGAGUUCUCUCUCCUCUUGAAUCAGGUUAUUAUAUCAUUCCUUACCCAGAGCUGAGUUCUUAUUGGCCAUAACUGUAUUUACCCUACAGAAACAUGUCCUUUUAUGACAGGUAUAAAUAUUAAAUAACAAUGCUCUGGAAUGAAUACUUGGUCACUCAGAGAGCUGGAUGAAUUCCAAAUGAAUCCCAAGUCCUAAUCUUUCCUUAAGUAAAAUGUUCCAUUUUAAAAGAUGGCCAUAAACAUCUUCAGCACUAUUUAGCAAUCCCUUUGGAAGGGGCUGAUCUCUUACUUACUGGAGGAUGUGGUAUGUGAGUUUGCCUGUCUUUGCUUUUGUUUUAUAAUUUCAAAUAGUCAGGAAAUAUUGCAUUCACUGGCAAUCAAUUUAUUUUGAUUGAUAAAAAGGGGUUAAUAAAAACUCCCUUAGAAAUAAAAAGAAGGUGAAUAGUAAUAUAUCUUUCAUGGUGCCUUCUUUCAGCUGUGCAUAAAGAGAACAAGCUUUUUACUUCUCCCCAAUAAGUCUUCUCCUCUUAUUUUCUAUACCUAGUGAGUCAUUUAUAAUCCUUAUUAUUUCCAACCCACACACUAAUGCAGCAUCAGUCAUAUUUCCACAUGCUGUGUUUUUUCCUCCUUACUAUGUUCUGAAAGCUGAAAGGGAAAAACACCCUCUAAUUUAUAUGAAAAUGCAUACCAAAAAUGGAUUACCA
Molecule: long non-coding RNA, 1829 nt
Filed under: Marmota monax (woodchuck)
Lineage: Eukaryota; Metazoa; Chordata; Mammalia; Rodentia; Sciuridae
Source: RNAcentral